Long non-coding RNA from Fukomys damarensis (Damara mole-rat), 505 nucleotides. RefSeq lists it as uncharacterized. The transcript is spliced from 5 exons. The record is from RefSeq and is a predicted model, not a curated record. Lineage: Eukaryota; Metazoa; Chordata; Mammalia; Rodentia; Bathyergidae.
UCUUCAUAAAGGAAUUCUUCUGUCUUUCUCCUAGGAGAAGCUCCAUAGGGCUCCUCAGCUUGUUUCACAGACCAAUAUCACCACCCAGGUUCCACCUGUAAGUGGUGCAGUUUUUGAAAGGAUGCAGUGCUACUUCCCAAAAUGAGAGACGAAUCUGCCCUUUGAUGAACUGAUGCCAAGAACAAAGAUAUCCUGCUCCUCUCAGUUCAAGGGACUAAUUCCACUUAGAAAAGCCCAAAAGGAGUGUUUGCCUGAUGAUACAUGAAUGAGAUACCUUCUGAGCCCUAUCCCCUCCAAUGACUAAGAAGAGCUGGAUGGCUCCACAGAAAGUCAAGCAGACAACUACAACACACAGCUGGAACAAUGCUGAUGUCUCCAGUGCAUAGGAACAGAAAGAAAUAUUAUCAUUAGGCAAAGAGUUUGCUCCACCACCUUCUCCCACCAGGAUGUGCUGCCACAGCUCCAACGUUAUGAAGUCAAUUGGCCAUGGACUGAAAUCUCCCAA